AGCGUCUACCUAAUUGUGGUAGGAUAAUUCUGGCUCAAAUAAGCUCAGCAUCAGCGAUCCCCCUCACGGCGAUCCUUCUGCUGGCUUUGCCUGAUAAUCCUUCUGCAGCAUUCAUGCAUGGUCUGGUCCUGUUUAUUACAGGGUUCUGCAUAUCUUGGAAUGCUCCAGCCACAAACAAUCCAAUUUUUGCAGAGAUUGUGCCUGAGAAGUCAAGAACCAGUAUA
RNAcentral lists this unclassified non-coding RNA (224 nucleotides) under Hevea brasiliensis (rubber tree). Lineage: Eukaryota; Viridiplantae; Streptophyta; Magnoliopsida; Malpighiales; Euphorbiaceae. The record is from RNAcentral.